GAUACUAGCUUGCUAGUAGGCGUCGAGUGGCGGACGGGUGAGUAACGCGUAGGAAUCUACCUGAUAGUGGGGGAUAGCCCGAAGAAAUUCGGAUUAAUACCGCAUAAUCUAUUCGUAGUAAAGUGGGGGACUUUCGAGCCUCACGCUAUCAGAUGAGCCUGCGUAAGAUUAGCUAGUUGGUAGGGUAAAAGCCUACCAAGGCGACGAUCUUUAGCUGGUCUGAGAGGAUGAUCAGCCACAUCGGGACUGAGACACGGCCCGAA
This 263-nucleotide ribosomal RNA is filed under the name uncultured Gammaproteobacteria bacterium. RNAcentral's name for it is "partial 16S ribosomal RNA". It matches the Rfam family "Bacterial small subunit ribosomal RNA", at positions 70 to 335 of the family's 1533-position model. The record is from RNAcentral. Lineage: Bacteria; Pseudomonadati; Pseudomonadota; Gammaproteobacteria.